AACGAACGCUGGCGGCGUGCUUAACACAUGCAAGUCGAGCGAUGAAGCACCUUCGGGUGUGAAUUAGCGGCGAACGGGUGAGGAACACGUGAAGAAUCUGCCAUCAACUCUGGGAUAACUCCGGGAAACCGGGGCUAAUACCGGAUAUGAGCCUUGAUCGCAUGAUCGGGGCUGGAAAGUUUUUCGGUUGAAGAUGACUUCGCGGCCUAUCAGCUUGUUGGUGAGGUAAUGGCUCACCAAGGCGACGACGGGUAGCCGGCCUGAGAGGGCGACCGGCCGCACUGGGACUGAGACACGGCCCAGACUCCUACGGGAGGCAGCAGUGGGGAAUAUUGGGCAAUGGAGGAAACUCUGACCCAGCGACGCCGCGUGAGGGAUGAAGGCCUUCGGGUUGUAGACCUCUUUCAGUAGGGAAGAAGCGAAAGUGACGGUACCUACAGAAGAAGCACCGGCUAACUAUGUGCCAGCCGCCGCCGUAA
RNAcentral lists this ribosomal RNA (479 nucleotides) under uncultured bacterium. RNAcentral's name for it is "partial 16S ribosomal RNA". It matches the Rfam family "Bacterial small subunit ribosomal RNA", at positions 29 to 523 of the family's 1533-position model. The record is from RNAcentral.